This 73-nucleotide transfer RNA is filed under the name Lachnospiraceae bacterium. RNAcentral's name for it is "tRNA-Ala". It matches the Rfam family "tRNA". From Rfam's summary of the family: Transfer RNA (tRNA) molecules are approximately 80 nucleotides in length. Their secondary structure includes four short double-helical elements and three loops (D, anti-codon, and T loops). The record is from RNAcentral. Lineage: Bacteria; Bacillati; Bacillota; Clostridia; Lachnospirales; Lachnospiraceae. RNAcentral also lists the same sequence under 4 other names.
GGGGGUGUAGCUCAGUUGGGAGAGCACCUGCCUUGCAAGCAGGGGGUCAAGGGUUCGAAUCCCUUCAUCUCCA